Cervus elaphus (red deer) is the source of this 200-nucleotide long non-coding RNA. RefSeq lists it as uncharacterized. The transcript is spliced from 3 exons. Lineage: Eukaryota; Metazoa; Chordata; Mammalia; Artiodactyla; Cervidae. The record is from RefSeq and is a predicted model, not a curated record.
GCCCACUUGACUUCACACUCCAGGAUGUCUGGCUCUAGGUUUACAAUGGCGAAAUGUUCCCUAAAUACAAGGCGAAAUGUUCCCUAAAUACAAGGUUCAUCAUCAUAACAUAAGCCAGGUCUUUAUAUUCAACUGCCAACUGGAUAUCUUCACCUUAGGAGUCCCAUGGAUUCCUAAGGUUGAGUACUUCAAAGUUGAAG